Cavia porcellus (domestic guinea pig) is the source of this 2373-nucleotide long non-coding RNA. Lineage: Eukaryota; Metazoa; Chordata; Mammalia; Rodentia; Caviidae. The record is from Ensembl.
AAUUUUGAAAUUGGGAAAUGCAAGUUUUAAGUUGGAAAAUUUAAUGUUUUUUUUUCAAAAUUGUUUUGUCAUUUUAGGUCUUUUGUAUUUCCAUAGAAAUUUGGUAUCAUCUGGUCAAAUUCUGCCAAAAGUCACUGAGGUUUUGAUAAAAUCAAUGAACCAAUCAGGGGAAAGUACCCUUCAUAAUAAUGUCAACUUUCUCCUCUGUGAAACUGGUGUCUGACUUUCUUUUGAAGGCUUGCCAGAAGAAUCUCGUCAUUGACUAAUCUACAAAGGUCUCCUUGGAGUUCUUGUGAUGCUGACCUGCCUGAAUCACCAAAAUGAUCAAAGCAUCAGCCUUGGGGAUUAAUUCAAACAUACUGGAGAUAAUGGAUUUAAUAAAGUACUUCUUCAGCUGCUCCACGUGUGGGCCUUGUGCCUCUGGUGCUCCUGGCUCCCAUACGCAGGUCACUUGCCUUGCACUGCCUUGGGUGAAAGGAAACUUCCCUACGAGGCAGAACUGGGAUGGCACCAGCCUCUCUGGGCCUCAGAUGUACUGGGGCAGACACCCCUUGAAUAUCUACUUCAAAUCACCUUUCAUGUUUUAUUAUUGGAAAUAGACUCAUUUGAGGAUUACAUUAUUAUGUUUUGGAAAAAAUGGAAAUGAAUCAAGACAUGGAGAAUGCCAGCCUGGUUCAUGGUUCCACCUGUUCACCCAGGAUGUCUUCAAAUACUUGUGUUUCAGCAACCAGAAAUCAGCAAAGAUUCAACCUAUCCUUUUUGCCUCAGUUACUCCUUAAAUCAGUGCCACCCCUCCAAAUGAAUGUGAAUUGAAACAUGCAUUGCUUUUCAUUUGAGUGCUUACUGUGUGUGAGCCAGUGCAAAAAAUAGGAGAGAGAAAAUGAGGGAGACAAAUGCACAUGGAGCCUGCUUUUAAUGAAUUUGCUAUUAGUUUCAGCACGCAUAUUGUGUUCUUUUGUUUUUAAUUAGGUGUGUCCCUAUGACAAGAGAGCAGUGAAUGGAAAAGUGUGCUCUGUAAUUAUUGUAAGCCCCAUUAAUGAAAAACAAAAUAAAGUACAACAACAAUAACAACAACAAAACUCUAAUGUGAAAACCUCGGGACAUUUCAAUUCAUUUCUUUGUUGUUGUUCUUUAAGUUCUAAGAGAUAUGACCCAUUUUAUUUUGUAUUACUUUUGUGGUGCUGAGAUAGGACCCAUUUUAUUGAUUACAUAAAUAUUCUGCAGGUUUUAGAUACAUUAAUACAACAUAGUUUGAGUUAAUUUGAAUUAAAUUCUAGUGUUUUUCCUUUGGGUAUAGCUUGUAUGUUGGAAAAUAUAUUGAUUGUAUACUUCUUGGGGUUAGGAAGGUGAAUUACACCUGCUAUCUUUAUGGGCAUCUGCCUUCCCUGCCCCAGCACCCACUAUUCUGAGUGGGUGACUACCAAAAGGAGGGAGAUAGAUCUUGUUCAAUCUUGGGGGUGACAUUAAUGGGCCCAAUAUUGCUAAGAGAGGGGGUAGAGCACAGUUGGGCACUGAUUCUAUAUGAAAUUUGACUAAAUAUUUUUUUCAGUAUUCAUUGCAUGAUUCCUUUUAUUCCAUAGGUUGAGUGACUCCACAGUUUUUCUAAAAAAUUGUUUCUGAGCUGAGAAUAAGUUUAAGUCAUGAUUUUUCCAGUGUUAUGACAUUGAUUUGACUGAAGCCACUAGACAUUUUAUGUAGUGUCUGUGACACAUUUUAGUAUGUAUGAGCCAAUAAUAGACAAGUCUUUGUCUUGAGUAGUGUCCAUCUGAAUUGAAAAUGAACCAGCUUUUCUUUUUUAACAUCAUCAACAGACUUCUUAAUUAAGCUGCCAAUACACACUGCCAAUAACGCUGUGUGCUGUUUGAGAAAUGAAUAGCGUCAGUGCCGUUUCCAUCUUAUCAAAUAAACAAUGCUGCUGGGAUAGCAUGGAUUUUAAGUGUUCUUUGAAUGGCACUGCAGAUCGCACCCUACAUCAUUUGAUGAGCUUUUUCAUACCACCUCUUUUGACUCAAUUUGUGAUUUUUGUUUUUUAGUAAGGAAUAGCUCUAAUCUGACCAAUAACUUUGGUUAUCUGAUUCAACCUUAAUAGAACAAAUCACCCCACCAUCAAACUCCUGGUCAUGCUAUUUGUAUGCAUGUCAUUUCGGGUUGGUGAGAAGUAGCUUCCAGGAACUAUUAAUGAUCCACUGGUGUUAUACUAAAUUGUGGGUGUGUAUUGUGUAAGCAUUUGGUGGUCAUGAAGUACUUUUUUUACUUUUAUUUCUUAAGGCUCUGUAGAAGAAGUGCGACUUAGCACUUUCACUGGUUGGUAGUUUACAGUCAGUCUACUGAGAAGUCCAAAUAACUGGAAUUUUUAAUACAUUUGAGUUUCCU